AUGUUGAACUCCUUGAUUCCAGCCAUUGCCAUGUCUGUUGAGGCAUUGCCAACUGCUUCUGCUGUUUGGAGCAUGUUGUUCACAAGGUAUUCCGGUAAGGGAAACCUGAUGCUCAUGUCUCAAAUUGAAGACAAGAUUCAUGCUGUUCGUCAAGGUGACAGAAGUGUGCUGGUGUAUGUGAAUGAGCUGCAACACCUUUGGGCAGAUCUGGAUCAGUGUGAUCCCCUUGAGAUUCCACAUGCAGAGUCCAUGGAGCUUGCCAGGAAGUGGGUUGAGCGCAGGCGUGUGGUGCAGUUUCUAAAGGGCCUAGAUCAAGCUUUUGAGAGUAGACAUGCUGCGAUGCUACAUCAGCCGACGCUUGUGACCCUUGAUGAGGCCAUUGCUGCGAUGUCCCAAGAAGAGGUACGCUUGCAGUCGAGAAGGGGAGUUGGAAAUGAAUCUGCUUACAGGGUGGCUGACCAGCGAGGGGUGUGUCACAAUUGUGGUCAACCAGGGCAUAUCAGCCGUUUCUGCAUUGGACCUAGGAACGUCAGAGGCCGAGGGUACAGUGGUGGCAGUAGCAGCCGAGGUGGUUGGAAUGUGAGUGGCGGUUCUUGGAAUGCUCCCCAUUGGAAUGCUCCUAAGGCAAAUGUAGUUGCUUCAGCUGCAGGGAAGCAGCCUGUAGGAGGACAGGGGACUGCUCCCAGCUAUGCCAACUUUGUUGAUACAAAUGAAGGAGAGAUUGACGGGCAGGAGUCUUGGGACUGGAACAAGGCGUAG
Molecule: ribosomal RNA, 759 nt
Filed under: Triticum aestivum (bread wheat)
Lineage: Eukaryota; Viridiplantae; Streptophyta; Magnoliopsida; Poales; Poaceae
Description: partial small subunit ribosomal RNA
Source: RNAcentral